This 267-nucleotide unclassified non-coding RNA is filed under the name plant metagenome. RNAcentral's name for it is "partial contains small subunit ribosomal RNA, internal transcribed spacer 1, and 5.8S ribosomal RNA". The record is from RNAcentral.
UUUCCGUAGGUGAACCUGCGGAAGGAUCAUUAUCGUACAAAAUGUGAGGGGCAUGCGAGGGCUGUCGCUGACCCAAAGGUCGUACACGCCCGAGUGUGUCCUCUUGCAUAAUAAUCCAUCUCACCCUUUGUGCGUCACCGCGUGGGCACCCUUCGGGAUCAUCUCGGAGGGGGGCUCGCGUUUUCACACAAACCCCCCUUUUAAAAGUGUAGAAUGACCACAUUUAUGCAAUCAAUACAACUUUCAACAACGGAUCUCUUGGCUCUC